This 207-nucleotide ribosomal RNA is filed under the name uncultured bacterium. RNAcentral describes it as "partial 16S ribosomal RNA". It matches the Rfam family "Bacterial small subunit ribosomal RNA", at positions 568 to 774 of the family's 1533-position model. The record is from RNAcentral.
CGCGUAGGUGGUUUGUUAAGUUGGAUGUGAAAGCCCCGGGCUCAACCUGGGAACUGCAUCCAAAACUGGCGAGCUAGAGUACGGUAGAGGGUGGUGGAAUUUCCUGUGUAGCGGUGAAAUGCGUAGAUAUAGGAAGGAACACCAGUGGCGAAGGCGACCACCUGGACUGAUACUGACACUGAGGUGCGAAAGCGUGGGGAGCAAACA